AUGGAGCAAAAAGCCCAUCCAGAAGCAUCUUUUUUUAGCAAGGGUAAAAGAAGUGGCGCUUCCUCUCAAAACGAAAUCUCCUUCUGUGAGUUCUAUACGGCGGCACUCUUCUCCGUCUCGCUCUCCGUCGCGAUUUUGAAGCUCCUCUCACCCCCUAACUCUUAUUCCAUCUAUCAUCUCCGUUACUUCAAUGUCUCACGAUCAUUUUUUCAAUCUCUCUCAUCACUGUCAUCAAUUUCCUCCGUCUCAACUGCUUCUCUGCAGAUCACCAUAUAA
Vicia faba (fava bean) is the source of this 276-nucleotide non-coding RNA. NCBI's taxonomy places the organism in Eukaryota, Viridiplantae, Streptophyta, Magnoliopsida, Fabales, Fabaceae. The record is from the annotation of a GenBank genome assembly.